UGUAAAGAUUAAAUUUGAGACAAGAGUAUUUACCGUAAGUGUAAGUUUACCUAGUUGCUUAUUUGAAACUGACAAACCGGUCUUUUGUUUUGUAUAUUUUUACCAUGAGAACACAAAUAGAGAGGAAUAUCCCAGCAUGAAGUGUUUGAAAGUGUGGUGGUUUUAUACUUGCAGUGUGAAUUAGUCUCGUAUCCGGCCUGGAGACCCAGACAGUUCCUGUUGUGAUGGCCACUUCUACAAUCCCAGCAGUGCCAGGGCAAACAUCAGUGCAGAGAUCUGCAGAAUCAUGAGCAGCUGUUUCUUCAUUCAGUGGCCUUGAGAUAUUGAACCUGGAUGUUAUUGAUUCGAGCUUAUUCGGAUCUGUUUCUGUGUGAUUGGACAUGCAUGGGAGAGAUCUUCACAUACACAAUGAAGAGGAGAAGUAGAACGAGGUGUCUUUAACUCGUAGGUGCUUAUUAAAGGAAAUGGACAGCUUUCUCUGCUUUCAAUGCCUUUCUCACUUCUCGUUCACUCUUUUGUUACUUCAAGUAAGUAUUAGGUCAUUGACGCUCAUGGGAUCAUGUAUCUAGAGCAACCCCAAUCUUCCUAUUUUUUGUUCUGCCUACUUUCUGACUGACAUGCAAUCACUUAAUCUGGACUCGACUAAAAGGAAAUAAUCUUUUUCGUCUGUAUCCAAUAGCACUCUGGUUAACAAACACUCUCAUCUAUUCCCUUCAAUGUCUAUUUUUAUCUCCAGUUCUUAUUAUUUGAAUAGACCACCUUUUAUAAUGAUUAAAAGACAAGUCCCAAGUUCCACUUUUUAAGAAUUAAAGGCCACACAGUGAGCGAUAUAUUAAAGCUACAACCUCUUUGUUUUCUUCUGUAAGCUCUCACAUCAGGCCUACUCUGGUUAACUUGCAUUCAUUAAUAUUGCAACUCUUGAAAAAGAAAUAGGCUAAAAUGUUUUGUGCAGUUUCUUAAUCUUUAAAUAUUAAUGGCUGCCGUUAGUUUCCUGGUAGCGGUCCACUGCUGUCUGACUUGGUUGUUUUGGCUCUGGGGAACUCUUUGGUAUAAUUAAUUAGCUUAUCUAAAAUGUCUCCCAUUACCCAACAGUCGAGAGUGAAAAGCUCGGAAAAAAGAUCUCAGAUCUUUAAUGCUCAGGAUGACAAAGCUUGAUAUCUGGCAAAUUACAACCAGGCAACAAAUCUCACUUACCAUAAAUAAUGCAUAUUCCCUUUGGGCUAUACUAAUAUGUCACCUUAAUAUGACUUAAAAUUAGAGUGUCUCCCCUGAGCCAAGUGUGUACUAAAAAUCCCAUAAUUCAGUGUAGUUAUAUCCUGGGAUAUUAAUUCGUAUGUAUUAGAAUUAAACAAAUGUGGUGGGGCUGAAAUGGUUAAUUAAUUAAUUGAUUGGUGAUUUGGCGAGAAGAUGCAAAGAAACUAAAAGGAAAAUCUACAAAUGUACAAUGGACAUGUUUUCCAUUCUGAGAACGAGAUGAUAAAUUGCCUGAAAAUGUCCUUAUUUUUUUGUAUUAGAGUACAAAAUGUCUCUAAAAUACAGUGUCUGUGUACUAUUGUUAAAACAAUGCACAUAAGUUCCAUGCAACACAAAUUACACUAAGAUGAAUUACAUAUAAAUGCAGAUAACAUUUACUUUUGCCUUUUUUAAUCCCUUUUCUAUCCAUUGUUUUUGUCAGAACAAAUCAAUGUUUCCAAAAACUGCAAAAAUACAUCAAGAUCUGUUAUCUUUUUGGAAUUCACUACAAAAUCUGAUUUCCCCAUUUAUUCAUUGCAAUGCACUGCUGCCCCCUUCUGGAUGUAAGAAAAAUGUAUAGAUUUUGUAGUAGAGAAAAAAAGCACAAUUAUGGUAUUUUUUUUCCACAGUAACAUACACAAGAAGAAAGUCAUUACACAUUCAGACAAAUACAUUUUAAAUCAAUAUUUUGCAAUAUAUUUUAAAAGUUUAUAAUCAUGAUAACCUGUCAAUUUAUUGUAAUGUACUGUUGUUUUUGAGUCUGUGGUGCAGUUCAUGUAAGGUCAGAUGCUUUAAUUCACUCAAUAAUGCUAUUAAUGCUUAGAUGUGUUAUCACAUGCUAUGUUUUUAACUUGUGUUUUUGACUUUUUGUUCUAUAUAUAUUUGAGAGACACGUUAAAGAUUAACCUCCUCUGCUUUUGCAAUGCAUAAUAAAGCUUUUUCUGAUUCUGAUAUGUUCAUUAUGUUGAUUUGGUUAGUUGAAAAAUGAGUGCAGAGACA
Sphaeramia orbicularis (orbiculate cardinalfish) is the source of this 2232-nucleotide long non-coding RNA. RefSeq lists it as uncharacterized. The transcript is spliced from 3 exons. Lineage: Eukaryota; Metazoa; Chordata; Actinopteri; Kurtiformes; Apogonidae. The record is from RefSeq and is a predicted model, not a curated record.